AUAGAGAAGAGAGAAAGGACACAUCAAGCCUUCAACACAAGGCACAGCUGACUGACUCUGAGCAGGUGUGAACAAACAGUCAGGGAGGAUUGAGCUAAUCACCUCCUCCGGUUAACAUUGCUUCAUCUGCAGUCAUUUACCUUGCCCACAUCUGCCAACUUCCUCCAGCAAUUUCUGUUUUGUAUCACACCACAUUGACCGUGGGCAGGGCAGGAUGGUAACAUAAACACAAGGCACCAAACAGAAGUGGUAGCUGCAGGCAUAUCUGAUCGCCUUCGCCCCCUGGAGGAGACAGUGCUCUGCAUCAUAAGGCCAGCUGUGACAGAUAGCUACACCUGACAUCAAAAACAUACCUCCUUGCUGAUUGCUGCAGUCUCAUCAUAAAGGAUGGCAGCUACACCUUUGGUGAAAAACACUAUCACUUGCCAUGAUAAUUGUAGCCACCAGGUGACAUACUGACCCUGUCUUAAAGGAGCAGCAUGUGACAAGUCAACAGUUGUGAGUAGGGGCAGCUGGACCAAGAGGAAAGGAUACUUUGCAUGCUGACAUAUCAAUGGGCAAGGCCACAGAUGACAUCUACUGCAGAGGCUCAGAUCAGAGUUUCAAGCCAAAAUGCUCAAGACAAUGGUGAUGGACAUGCACAGCAAGAUGCUUGGUACAUUGAUAGGCCAGACUUGGUGAACAAAACUGGACAUGAUUAUGAAUUAUAGAGUGAUUUACUCAAUGACAAAAAACCUGUGAGAUACUAAUAUAAAUUAGGCUAAUGACGUAUUCAGAUACAACUACAUCCUCGGUCCUAUCUCAGAUUAAUCAAAACCAUAGAGAACUUUACAACACAGACACUAAGGACCCUGAGGUGACCGAGGUGGGGUCUCAAGCUGAAAAACUGGCUUAGCAAGAUGCCAUUUUGUUGAAAGAGUUGAAGUUUAUACUAGAAAUGAUUGCUCAGAGGCUUAUUAAAAAGCUGUCACUUCUCAUGCUUAUUAAACCGGCUGCACACUGUUGCAAUUAACACCCUUGCCUAACAGCAACCAUUUGUUUGAACUUAGACAUAGUGAUUUAAAUCAAAGUCAAAGUGAUAGUCAUUAGUCAUGCUCAUUGCUGCUGGAGGUCGGAAGCAAACUUCAGGAAAAUGUCAGAGACUCACUUAAACAUUUAGUGAAGACUUCACCAAUAGUUACUAAAAAGGACAGACAGAUUAACACAACUUUUCAUUUUGCACUCAUCAGGACAAAAACAAGAAUGCCAAAUUUCAAACAAUUCAUAGCGCAGGGAAAAAGGGUGCUUUCAGAAGUCAAUCCUGAUUGGCCAAGACAUUUAUGCCCUGUUUUCACUCUUUGCC
This is a non-coding RNA of Chiloscyllium plagiosum (whitespotted bambooshark), 1342 nucleotides long. The record is from RefSeq and is a predicted model, not a curated record. Lineage: Eukaryota; Metazoa; Chordata; Chondrichthyes; Orectolobiformes; Hemiscylliidae.